UUUGACAAAGGAUAAUAUAGUCUUUCCAUGAUUCAACUUCGUAGUAUUUGCAUUUCUCAAUUCACUGAUAACGUUACACGUCAAAUCACUCUUCAGCCAAAUUCUUACACGUCUAAACCUUAUCAUAAAUACUGUCUUCACCUAAAUUUCUUUCCAAUUUACAGUCCACUUGCAUUCUCUCUUUAUUCUCUGCUGCCAAUUUAUGUGAUUCUACUAAGGCAGGUGCUUGAUUUCUUAGUCGUUGUUCUCUGUCUCCAAGUUUGACUGUCUGCAUAGCUUUGCUCUAUGUCUGUGGCUGUAUAUGAAACAGUAGGUAAGUAUGGUUUUGUUCAAACAAAAAGAAAAAAGGAAAUUGAAGUUUAACUGCGUCUGACACAACGGAUGUGUUUUUCAAGAGUUCUAACAGGGAAAACCAUUUGGUUUUGGUGUUUCCAGAGGUUUAUAUAAUGUAUUUCAAGAAGUUAUGGAACUUUAAUUAACCUAUAAUACUCUGCAGAGACCAUCUGGUAUUUUUCUGCACUUCCAUUGAAAAAGUGUCAUAGGGACAAUAAGAGUAAACAAUUUCAUAUUUGGAUUGAUCAACUCUUACCUACACAGGCGAUGAUAAUUGAAACGUCAUUGACUAAAGAGGAAAUGAAAUCUGCAAUUCAAUCUUGUGCACACAAAGUUGAAUAACCAAUCAAACCAUAAAAUAGCAAAUGAUACAAACAAAAUGACCAGUCUUUCCGUGGAGGCAGCAUAAGAUGCGAGAAGGAAGGUUGAGAUGGUUUGGGUAUGUGAUGAGGAGGGGCACGGAUGAACUGGAAGGUUGAGAUGGUUUGGGCAUGUGAUGAGGAGGGGGCAUGGAUGUCCCCAGUUCGGAGGUGUGAGAGGCUGGCUUUAGGAGGAGUAGAGGUAGGCCAAAGAAAUACUGGAGGGAGGUGAUUAGACAUGUCAUGAAGCAGCUGAAGCAGCCUCAGCUCACUGAGGACAUGACCCUAGACAGGAAGGUGUGGAGGUCGCGGAUUAGGGUAGAAGGUUAGGGCGAGUGUAUGGAUUGUGGCUAGGUGUUAGGAGAGCGAGUGUGUAUCCGGGCAAUAAUCCCAGGCCUGUGUCCUUGAGUAGGAGCCUUUAGCCAAGUGAGUUCGGGUGGGGUGGGUAAGUGGGUGUCCUAGUUCUUAUUUCUUAUUUCGUAUUGCUCUUAUUUCGUACUUCACUGAUAUUUAUUUCUAUUAUUUCUUAUGUCUGCAUGUCAACCUUUCCUGUUACAUGUUCCAAUACGAUCUUGGUGUAUUAUUCGAGAUUCUGAGCCGGGGGUCUUAUCGGAAACGGCCUCUCUACUUCUUCGGAGGUAGUGGUAUGGACUGCGUACAUCUUACCCUCCCCAGACCUCACUUUGAGGAAAUACCCUGGGCCUGUUGUUGUUUGUUUCCAUGGAGGCAGCAAAUGGAUGGUAAGGCAUUGAAACCGAACUAGCAGACGCUGAAAUUAAUAGCUACAACAGCAGAGAAAAGAAAUGACUUGUACCAUGUCCUGUUCUCAAUGAAAAUGGUGUCGACUUAGUGUUUAGACCUGGAUAUCGUUGAGUUAGGAGCUUGUUUGCUGUCUACAAAGUGUUUUACGUUUACCUGGAUAUCGUUGAGUUAGGAGCUUGUUUGCUGUCUACAAAGUAUUUUACGUUUAUAGAUCGAUGUAAUAUUAUUGCCAAAUCUUGAUAAGCUAAUUUCUAUAAGUGCUGUGUGUGUUGACGUA
Long non-coding RNA from Capsicum annuum, 1731 nucleotides. RefSeq lists it as uncharacterized. The record is from RefSeq and is a predicted model, not a curated record. The transcript is spliced from 4 exons. Lineage: Eukaryota; Viridiplantae; Streptophyta; Magnoliopsida; Solanales; Solanaceae.